This 11743-nucleotide long non-coding RNA is filed under the name Salvia miltiorrhiza (redroot sage). RNAcentral's name for it is "long non-coding RNA (SMIL_LNC000493)". The record is from RNAcentral. Lineage: Eukaryota; Viridiplantae; Streptophyta; Magnoliopsida; Lamiales; Lamiaceae.
AAUCAUCAUUGUUUCCCCUCAACUCUCGGUUUAAGCCAACCAUUUCCAUCAACAGCAUCCCAAAACUAUACACAUCAGCCUUGUAAGACACUCCGCCAAAACUAUACACAUCAGCCUUGUAAGACACUCCGCCAAUAUGCAGAAGACAUAGGAAAAGAGCAGGUGGUGUUGUUUAUGGAAACAUGAGCAAGCCUGAUGGUGAAGUCACUGUAAUUGAUCGCUUUCACCAAGUAUUUCUGGGAGUUUAGAUGAACUGAGGCGACGUUGUUUUCGCAGACUAAUUCGUAUUUGCGAUCACCACAGUGCUUGGGAUCACCCUUGAGGCGGAAAGGGGAGCUAAUAUUGCGAAUAACGCCACACGCAGAAGGGGUGCAGUCGGCUGCAUUACAAGUUUGAAAGAAAACAAUCAAGAGAGAUGAACAAGUGAAGAGGAAGAUGAAGUUUCGAGUGAUCAUCAUUCUUGCUUCAGAUUGUUUUCCACUACAAACUUCACACAUUAAAAGGCAACAAGACUAGAGUGCACCGGUCAUAUGCACCAAUCUCUGACUAAGUCGCAACAAAACGGCAUUCGUCAAAGUUUUUACCUCUAUUUCUUUUUUACUUUAGUUGUCAAUUGUCAUGACUUGACUUUAGAGAAACAAGUUAGAUAGCGUAUACUUCAUUAUUUUGUUUAUACUAAGGAAUUGAGUCAACCCAAAUAAUCUUAGUUUUUAUUUUAAUUUUAUGUUUCGGCAAAAAUUUCUUGUCCUUGAGCAGCAGCAAGCAGCAUCGCUUUCUUCUUUGAAGAGAUAUUAGACAACUUUGAUAUUAAGGGUGUGUUCUCUUUGAUGAAAAAUGAUGGAAUAUAAUUAUUUUCUACUCAUUUUUACCUUUUUAACUUACAUGUUCUAUAGAGUAGAUGAAAAAUGAUGAAAUAUAAUCUAUAUAGACAUAGUGUAGAUUAUUCAUUCCAAGCUCCUAAAGUUCGUCAAUACUUCAAAUAAACAAUCUAUAUAUAACUAAUAAAAACAUUGGCACAACUACUAGAAUCCUAAAUCUGCAUAUAAAAUAAUAGCUAGCAUGACAAAUCUUCAACACUAAGGCCAAUGUUCAGAUAAUUAAACCGCUCUGACAACGAUCGAUGAAGAAUUAGUAGAACAUGUAGUCCUAGUUUCAUCAACAUCUACUACAAUGUGCGAUGGUUGAGACGGAUACUCUGGAAUCUGUAGACGCUCGACAUCAGCUUCCAACAUUUCCAACACUUUAUUCAUUGAUGGACGAUCAUCUGGAUUCAUUUGUAUGCACCACAACGCAACUAUUGUCAUCUUCCGACCAACUUUCCUCGUACUAUCAUCAUCAGCAGCAUUUCCAAUUUCAAGGUCCAUGCCUUGGUUAAUACAGUCAUAUAUCCAAUAUGGGAAAUACUUGCUAGAAACAUCAUUAUUUCCUAUCAAGUCUCUCUUUAAGCCCACCAUAUCCACUAACAGCAUCCCGAAACUAUAUACAUCAGCCUUGUAAGACACUCCGCCAAUACUUCUAUUGAUGAGUUCAGGAGCAACAUACUCUAUGGUUCCUCUAACAGCAGUCAUGGUCACUGUGUCCUUCUCAGUGGAGCAUAAUUUUGCCAACCCAAAAUCUGAUAUUUUUGGGACAAACUUAUCAUCGAGAAGUAUAUUGUGAGGUUUAAUAUCAAAAUGCAAGAUCUGAAUAUCACAACCACGGUGCAAAUACUCAACUCCUCGAGCCACUCCAACUGAAAUCUUAAAUUUCAUAUCCCAAUCCAAUGAAGAUGCUUUUUCUUUAUUGAGAACGUACUUUUCAAGGGAACCAUUGGGCAUGAAAUCGAAUAUGAGGGCGCGUUUGGAUCUUUCAGCACAAUAUCCAACAAGCUUGACAACAUUUAUAUGAUGGAUCCUCCCAAUGGUUCCAAUUUCAUUAAUGAAGUCUUGCCCAUUUGCCCCUGAUUUUCCGAGUAGUUUGACUGUUACAUGAUGCCCACUUCGGAGCUUUCCUUUGUAAACAGAACCGAACCCUCCUUGGCCUAGUUUUUCUCGAAAACCCCUCGUCAUCUUCUUUAUAUCUGAAUAGGAGUAUCUGAUUGGUGAGAGUUGGUUGUCACUCUGUAGGAAGCCUUCAAUUUGAUCGUACACCGAAAAGCGCCUUCUUAGGAAUUUGUAGAGCAGGAACACCAUCGCGCCAAGAAUCCCAACGAUGAAUCUUACUCCAAAGCUAACAACUGUCACAAACAAAAACAAUUCAAACAAGAAAAAGAAACUUAAUAUCUAUCAUGCUUACAAAGUUUUGUUUUUUAUAUCGAUCACAACUUGAAAUGUCAAAGCAUAUAGUAGGAGCUCACCGAUGAGACGUUGACUAUCGAGGCGCCUCCCUGCAAGUAGUCCACAAACAUGAUAACAAAAUAAGGUUAAAACAGAUCGGAGUGAACAUCAUAUCAUUUGCUUUACUCACAUGAGAAACUGAUCGGGACUAUGGUAUCCUUGAAAAGAAUCCAAUAGGAGGCGCCAAAUCCAAUGAUGAUCUUUGCUGGAAUGCUAACCCCUGCAAAUACAACAGCUGCAAAUUUUCUGGACAAAGUUACUUACAAAUUGUCUACCUGCAAAUUGAAAUGAAUGAAUUUUUAUAGAAUUAAGCACGCACCGACUAUGAGCAGAAAAAUGAGUAGACAGCCUGCAGAUGGACCAUCUGAGCAAUGAGGAAUAAACAUGGAUACAUCCUAUCAAUUAAUCGCCUUGUUUUUAUUCUUCUUUCUUGAUAAAUAGAUCCUAUCAAUUGAUCUUACCUUGAGGUUGUCAGAAGGAAUUCUUGAAGUUGGCUACAUUUUCCAGAAUACAAGAAAAGCAUGAGCAUAGAAAUAUAAGUUUAAACUUGUUGGUUCAACUUGUAAAUUAAGCAGUCUUACCCCAGUUGUAAUAGAGACCAGAAUGGUAGCCAGGGCAAAUAAUUAGGCCAUCAGGCUCGAUAGAACAAAGAGCUCCUCCUUUGCAGCCGCGACACAUAAAUCUCAUCCAAGAUAGAUUAAAUCCGUAUAGCAAAGAUUGAUGGAUUUCUAUGAGAGAUACAUUAUUGAGAUCUGUAAAAUUCCAAGAUGUUGCAACUACGGAAUCUAGUGUGCACAUAUACUCCACAUCUCUGGCGCGCAUGUGGCCGACCUUUAUGUAAGUAUGUCUGCUAGAUUUCUCACAAUCAGUGACUUGGGCUAAGAGAGAAGAAUUAUGCAACGGCUCAGCGCAGCUUAUGAAAUUAAUAGGCUGAAUUGCUUCCACCUCCAAGAAAAAGGUGUCAGGAAGGUGAUCAUCAUAUGCAGAAGACAUAGGAAAAGUGCAGAUGUUGUUGUUUAUGGUAGCAUGAGCAAGCCUUAUGGUGAAGUCACUGUAAUUGAUCGCUUUCACCACGUAUUUCUGGGAGUUUAGCUGAAUUGAGGCAACGUUGUUUUCGCAGACUAACUCGUAUCUGUGAUCACCACAGUGCUUGGAAUCACCCUUGAGGGGAAAGGGGAGCUAAUAUUGGGAAUAAGGCCACAUGCAGAAGGGCUACAAUCUGUUGCAUUACAAGUUUGAAAGAAAACAAUCAAGAGAGGUGAAAAAGUGAAGAGGUUUUGAAUUGUGAUCAUACUUCUUGCUUCAGAUUUUUCCACUACAAACUUCACAUCUUAAAAGGCUAUAAAUGAAAUGUCACUUGGGAUAAUGGUGCAACUAUGAAUCAUCUAUGACCAAGUCCGAACAACACGACACUGCACUAAUUUUUAACUCUUUUUUAAUUUGGUACGUGGUUAUGGCAUGAACAAGUUAGCUUAUAACUUCAUUAGUUUUACGGAAGGGUGAGUAAGUAGCAAAGAAGCUCGAAUAUGUUUCAUGACCUAAUACAUUCCAGAUAAUAUAUUAUUUUCUCCCAACUAUGGGAAAAAGGUUUAACAUAGAAUAUUGUCAAAAGAAGGUUGCAUAAGGUAUUCGAUCACAAAUAAAUCUCAUUUUAGAGGAUAAAUUCGAAACCUCAUUUUCUGUUAUGGCAAAGUCUUCUUGUCCUUGAGCAGCGACAAUAUCAUUUUCUGUUUAUGUUUAUGUGUUUGUCUCUUUCCAAUCCAUCAUUGUCAAUCAUCAUCAUCAACGUAAUUAAUUAGUAGUGUUAAGACUGACGACCGAGCAAUCAAACUUAUCUCUAUCUUCACUAGCCAGAUUCUACAUAUAUAAGAGAAAUUUCUUUAUGGAACAUUACCUCAUGUUUAAUCUUAAUUAGACGAGAAAUUUGGUCAAAUACUUCAAAUAAACAAUCUCGAACUAAUUAAUGACGCAGUGGCACAAGCACAACUAUCAGAAUCCAAAAUUUACAUAAAAUUGUUAUAGCAACUCUACUUGAAGAUGGACCUAAAAGUAAAUGAUUUUGGCAAGUCAGCAGAAACACAUAACAACAGCUAUAAUUAAGUUCAUUUCUUAGUUUGGCAAAUCUUCAACAGCGACGCCUGUGUUCAGAUCAUCAUUCUGUUGUAUUGAUGAAGAAUCAGUUGAACACGUAGUCCCAAUUUCAUCAACAUUUACUACAACGUGGGCUGAUUGAGAAGGAUAAUCAGGAAUCUGCAGACGCUCAACAUCACCUUCCAACAUUUCCAACACUUUAUUCAUUGAUGGACGAUCAUCUGGAUUCAUUUGUAUGCACCACAACGCAACUAUUGUCAUCUUCCGACCAACUUUCCUCAUACUAUCAUCAUCAGCAGCAUUUCCAAUUUCAAUGUCCCUACCUUGGUUGAAACACUCAUAUAUCCAAUAUGGGAAAUACUUGCUAGAAACAUCACUGUUUCCUAUCAAGUCUCUCUUUAAGCCCACCAUUUCCACCAACAGCAUCCCAAAACUAUACACAUCAGCCUUGUAAGAGACUGCACCAAUACUUCUGCUGAUGAGUUCAGGAGCAACAUAGCCUAUGGUUCCUCUAGCAGCAGUCAUUGUCACUGCCUUCUUGUCUGCGGAGAAAAAUUUAGCAAGCCCAAAAUCAGAUAUUUUAGGGAUGAAGUUAACAUCAAGAAGUAUAUUAUGAGGCUUGAUAUCAAAAUGCAGGAUCUGAACAUCACAGCCUCGAUGCAAAUACUCAAUCCCGCGAGCAACUCCAACUGCGAUCUCAAACUUCCUAUCCCAACUCAACGAAUUUGUUUUGUCUCGAUUGAAAAGAUAUUUUUCAAGCGAACUGUUGGACAUGAAAUCAUACACAAGAGCACGCUUGGAGCCUUGUGCACAAUAUCCAACUAGCUUCACCACAUUGACAUGGUGAAUCCUUCCAAUAGUUGCAAUUUCAUUCAUAAAGUCUUGCCCAUUUCCUCCGGAUCUUCCGAGCAAUUUGACUGCUACGUCAUGGCCGCUUCGGAGCUUCCCUUUGUAAACCGAACCGUAGCCUCCUUGACCUAAUUUAUGUUGAAAAUUUUGAGUCAUCUUCUUAAUGUGGGAAUAGGAGUAUCUGAUUGGUGUGAGUUUGUUGUCGCUUUGUAGGAAGGAUUCUAUUGCUUCAUACGUAGACAAAUGCCUUCUCCGGCAUUUGUAGAUCAAGAACCAAACUACCAAUGGACAAAUGAUUACUUUUGGUGCAGUGAUGAUGAGGCCUGGGAUGAGAUGCGAAAAUUAGAACAAAACUCCUUUGAGGUAUAUAUGCGUGUACAGUAUGGAAAAUGCAUGCGUUGCAUCAUGUGAUGAUAUGUAUGUAUAAUUUUAUCAAAAUAAAUAAAAUGAUAUAUAAUGUUUAUCUUCAAACAUUGGCAAAUAUAUGUUAUAAGUAAAGAGGAAUGUUAUGUUACAUACCUUACGUAAAUAUCGCUCUCGUUUAGUUCGUGUUAGCAUUAUUCUUUUGAUUCUAUAAUACCAAAAUUUGUUAUUUGACGAAAUUACAUAAAAAUUAUCAAAAUUUAUUUUCUUCUUUUAUUAAGUUAAUUGAAGUUAUAGGAAAAAUGAAGAAAUCGAGCUUUGAUUUUUAUGUAAUUUGUAAAAUAAAUAAAGUCAAUAACAAUUUUUGUGAUACUAGUUUGUACAAUUUUGACCAUCAAAAAUCAUAUUGUAGAUUAUUAGAGGGAGAAAAUACAAUAUUAUAUUUUAUAUAUAUAUAUAUAUAAUUACAAGGCAAAAAGCUAUUUUGCUCUCAUCUUAUAUAGCCCCACUAAUUCAAUUUUGACCAUCAAAAUCAUAUUGUAAAUUAAUAAUUGAAAUUUUAAAAAAUUAUAUACUGUAACUUUGAAUUAAUGAAUCCAAAUAAUCAAUUAUUAAUUCAAAUAAAUUUAAAAAAAUAAUUAUAAACCAUAAUUGGAUGAGUGAACCCUUGUUAAUUAUCUUUUUAUAAUAUUAAAGCAUAAUAAAUUAAAAUUGAAGAAAAUAUAAUUAAAAAUUAUAAUAAAUUAAGAGUGGUACACACAAAAUAGUGGGACAGAGGAUCUCAUGUGCUAAUCCAUACCUCAAAUUUAGUCCUCUUCCUUUUUUUCAGGCAUACAUGUAAAACAUAUCCUACUAUAUAUACUGAAUCAUCCACAAUACAAUUAGUUAGUUUCGAAUAACAUUAAUUGAGUAAUAUAAUGUACAAGUUGUACUUGUGCCAAUACAUUAAUUUUUGGGGGGAAAAAAAAAACUUUUUUCAAUACUAUAAAGAAUAAGUAUAGAUCAUAGAUAGUGUUUAAUGGAUCGAUAUGACGAUUAUCUUUUCUUUUUUCCUAUAUUCAUUAAAAGAUUGAGGGAGGGAAAGAAACGCGAGACCUCUCCAAUGAAAAAAUGAAAGGAGGUUCAUUAUUAAAGGAGAUUGGAUUUGUUUGCAAAUUAAAGCUUAUUGAGCCUUAUAAUGAUCGAUGAGAGACGUACUUGAAAUGUAUAUAGUAAGCAUAAGAAAGAUUAAGAGUCGCACCCGCGAUUCCUAUAAUUAAUGUGUCGAUCCCUGCAACCACACCAGAAUACAUAAUUAAUUAAGCAAAGAGGAAUAGAGAGCAAAAAGAGGAAUAGAAUCACAAAUUAAAGAUUCUUACGGAGAUGUUUCGACAUGAACAUAUCGAACACAAAAUACGACAAGAAUCCUAAUCCAGCCAAGAUCGUCAGAGGAAAGCUUAGUCCUGCAACUAAAGAAACUGCAAUGGUUUGAGCAAAAUAAGAGUUAUUGUAGAAUUGUCUAGCUUGUUUGCAUGAUUUCAGAAUGAAACAGAAAUCGAGUGCACACCUACGAUGAACAGAAGAACCGGGAGAUAACCUGCAGAUGAUGAGUUUAAUCAAGACUAGAUAAUAUAUUAAUUUGUUUAAGACAAAUCAUAUAUGCACGUCAGAAAUCUAAUUCUUACCCAAGAUCGCGACUCUAAAUUUCUCUGCAUUUUCCACCACACAAAAGCAUUAGCAUAUAUAAAAAGAGGAAUUGCAAUUAGGUUUAACACAGAGCAUGUUGCUUUCUUACCCCACUGCGUGGGCAAUGGCCUACAGUCACCACAGAAGUGGAGCUCGAAUCCAUACAAGAGAGAGUCAUGGAUUUCUGAAAGUGAUGCAUUGUUUGAAUCGUUAAAUUCCCAAGAUGUCAUCACAAUGAGAUCUACUUCGCACAUAGGUGUACCUCUGAGGNACUACUACUACUAUAUGUAUGUAUAUAUAUAUAUAUAUAUAUAUAAUUACAAGGCAAAAAGCUAUUUUGCUCUCAUCUUAGCCCCACUAAUUCAAUUAAAUAUUUCUAAAUCAUAAAACUAAUUGUUAUUAUGGUUAGCAAGAGAGUUUACUAUAUGUUAGUCAUACUUUAAAUUUAAAGAGAAGUAAUCUUUUGUGUUAAUACUUCUAAAUAACCAUUUUUCUUAAUACUCCAGACAAAAUUGCCUAUAGAGUAAAUAUGAACCUCAUAGUGUUCAAAUUGUACAUUUUGCACUAUUAACACUUGAUUAAAGGUGGUGGAAGGGUUUUGAUUUCUUUUACAACUAUGACUUUGUAAAAACUAAUUUCAUAUCUGUAAAAUCUAUCAAAUUUUCAAAUUUAUUUUAUAAAAGUUAAAAUUUAAUGUAUUUUAUAAAAGACCAUUUUAGAUAGUAGUGGCUAUCAUGGUUAUACUUUCAUUUUUGUGGUUAGAAUCAAUAUUUCUAUGAAAAUAUCUAAUAUUUCAAAAAAACAAAUCCAACGAUUCCCCAUAGUCAAGAAUAGGGAUGUCAAUCCAGCUCGAAACCCGUGGGCUGACCCAAGUAACCCGAAAAAAUUAGAGGGUUGGGGUUGAAAAAUCGCAACCCGAUUGUAAAUCGGGCUAAUCAGGCUAGCCCGUUCGGGCUGGCGGGUUGAAGCGGGUCAGCCCGUUGGGCUACUGUUUUUUUUUUUUAAUUGAAUUUUAAAAUACUUUAGAGUUUAGGCCUUUAUGGUUUGGCCUGAAACCGAAAAUUUUUCAGCCUCACUAGUCACUAGCGCGCCUCCACCCUCACUUCAGCCAUUCUUCCUCUGCCGCCAACCGAUCUACCACCUCCAGCCACGCCGCCGCACCUCCCUCCCCUCCGGCGCAUCCACUCCCAUCGGGCAACCGCACGGCUAUAUUAAAGAUAUAUAAUUUAUAUCUUUAAUAUCUAUGUAUAUUUUAUACAUUAUACAUUAGAUCAUUAAGAAUAAUAAAAUACAAAUGAUAAUUUUAUUUUUACGCCUAUAACCUAGUUAGAAGAAAUGGACAUUGCAAGGGAUAAUUAUGACAUCUGUAUAAUCUAUAGUAUAUAGAUUAAUUAAAAUAUAAUCUCAAAAGAAUAUCAAAGUACUAAUUAAUCAAGCAUUUAUUACUUGAUUUGAGUUUGGCAUGAUGUCAUAAUGAUGAUAAACAUUUUUUUGAUACAUCAAUUCAAUGAACAAAAUUGAUAAUCAAAAUAAUAUUUUUCCCCAUAUCUUGUUUCAGUGGUAAUUGUUAAUCAGUAUCUAUGUCAAAAUUAGAGAAAUAUUGCAUAGAGUUGUGUGUUAUAUUAUUCAUUCAUAAUAAUUUUUAUGUGGAUAUUCUGAAGAUGUGUUAUCCUAUAAUUAUCACAUCCUUAAGUAUUUACAUUAAUUUAUUAAAAUCUUUAUUAUAAGGGUUAAAUUAUUUUUUGUUUUAGUACAUAGUAAUGUGAUCAUAUUCAAAACUUUUAAUAUAUAAUAAUGUAUAAAAUUAAAAUAAUAUCUCUAAUAAAAAAAAUUAAAAUAAUAUCUAUAGUAAUGAUAAAUUAGAAUUUUAGUAGGAGUAAAGAUAGAACUUAAAUUAACACUCUAGAAAAUCAGUAGAAAAUAACUGUAGAAUGCAUUGAUGCUUGUUUGGUACUCCCUCUGUCCCGCUUCAAAUGACCCUAACUUUUUCGGCACGGAAAUUAAGAAUGUGUGAUAGAGGUGUAAAGUGGUGGUCCAAAAAGUAGUGUUAAAUAAUUCUAUAAAUUGAAUAGGUUAUUUGAAGUGGGACAACCCAAAAUAGAAAUAGGGUCAUUUGAAGCAGGAUGGAUGGAGUAUAUUAUAAAAAAUUCAUAUAUAAAUUGCGAAUUAAUUAAAUGAAUAGUUUUAAAUGAAAUAUCCAAUAUAACUUUAUAUUGAUGUGUAACUUUUAUAUGUUUAUCCAAUCAAAAGUUUUAUGUUAUUUAACUUUACUAAUUUUAUUUUUGUAGAAGGAUAACAAAUAGUAUUUUUCUUACUAAUUAACAUAUAUUUCCUCAAUGUAUUUAUGUAUUUUUCGAAUCUUUUUGUUUGUAUAGAUUUAGGUUUCAAUAGGACUUAACAACAUAUUUCAUUAAGUUUUUUUAUAUGCUUAUUGAAUUUAUAUAAUAAAUUUGUAUUCAAAAAAUUAAUAAGUCUUAGAAUAAAAUAAUAGGUUUAUAUUGACAAAUAGAUAACAUCGAACUUUCUUAGAAUUGUGAUUGGAGUUGGACUCUUUUUUGUUCAUGAUUAUGAUAAUAACCAAUUAAAUAAAAAAAAGUUAGAAUAAUAAUAAUAAUAUGAUAUUACACUAUUGUCCUUAAGAUAGAUUUAAAAAUAGGGAUAUAUUAGGCAAAUCAAAUUUUGUAAAACAAUACUCUUUUAUAAUAGGUAUAGUUAGAAUAAAAAAAUAGUAUAUAUACACAAAAAAAAUAAAUAUCAAUGUGAGUUAAAUAAGAGAGCGUGGUGAUCAUACAAGGUAUCUAGUAUAACAUUCCUCCCCUAAUAAAUACCUCAAAUUUAGUCCUCUUCCUUUUUUCAGGCAUACAUGUAAAACUUAUCCUACUAUAUAUACUGAAUCAUCCACAAUACAAUUAGUUAGUUUCGAAUAACAUUAAUUGAGUAAUAUAAUGUACAAGUUGUACUUGUGCCAAUACAUUAAUUUUUGGGGGAAAAAAAAACUUUUUUCAAUACUAGAAAGAAUAAGUAUAGAUCAUAGAUAGUGUUUAAUGGAUCGAUAUGACGAUUAUCUUUUCUUUUUUCCUAUAUUCAUUAAAAGAUUGAGGGAGGGAAGAAACGCGAGACCUCUCCAAUGAAAAAAUGAAAGGAGGUUCAUUAUUAAAGGAGAUUGGAUUUGUUUGCAAAUUAAAGCUUAUAUAUUGAGCCUUAUAAUGAUCGAUGAGAGACGUACUUGAAAUGUAUAUAGUAAGCAUAAGAAAGAUUAAGAGUCGCACCCGCGAUUCCUAUAAUUAAUGUGUCGAUCCCUGCAACCACACCAGAAUACAUAAUUAAUUAAUUAAUUCAAAGAGGAAUAGAAUCACAAAUUAAAGAUUCUUACGGAGAUGUUUCGACAUGAACAUAUCGAACACAAAAUACGACAAGAAUCCUAAUCCAGCCAAGAUCGUCAGAGGAAAGCUUAGUCCUGCAACUAAAGAAACUGCAAUGGUUUGAGCAAAAUAAGAGUUAUUGUAGAAUUGUCUAGCUUGUUUGCAUGAUUUCAGAAUGAAACAGAAAUCGAGUGCACACCUACGAUGAACAGAAGAACCGGGAGAUAACCUGCAGAUGAUGAGUUUAAUCAAGACUAGAUAAUAUAUUAAUUUGUUUAAGACAAAUUAUAUAUGCACGUCAGAAAUCUAAUUCUUACCCAAGAUCGCGACUCUAAAUUUCUCUGCAUUUUCCACCACACAAAAGCAUUAGCAUAUAUAAAAAGAGGAAUUGUAAUUAGGUUUAACACAGAGCAUGUUGCUUUCUUACCCCACUGCGUGGGUAAUGGCCUGCAGGCACCACAGAAGUGGAGCUCGAAUCCAUACAAGAGGGAGUCAUGGAUUUCUGAAAGUGAUGCAUUGUUUGAAUCGUUAAAUUCCCAAGAUGUCAUCACUAUGAGAUCUACUUCGCACAUAUGUGGUACCUCUGAGGCCUUCAUGCGGCCGACCUUUACAUACGUAUAUCUGGGAUGGGAGGCACAAUCAGUAGUGAUAUCUGUGAACAUGGAAGAAUUCUUCAAGGGAUUGAGGCAGCUCAUCAAAUUAAUAGGGCGGCCGAUGAAGCGAUGAUAGGGAUAUGGAUAAUCAAGACCGCCGUGAAAAGAAUGGAUGGGGAAAGAGCAAGAGUGGUUGUUGAUGGAAGCAUCAGCCAGCCUAAUGUUUGGUUGAUAUAGUCGAUUGCUUUCAUAUGGUAUUUUUGUGAGUUCAUGUACAUUGAGGCUAUGUUGUUUUCGCAGCCUAGUUCUAACAUGGGAUUGCCGCAGUUGUUGGGGUCAUUCUUGAGGCGGAAAGGGGGCCAAAUAUUGCCAAGAAUGCCGCAGCUAGAGGGGCUGCAAUGGCUGCUGUUAGCAGCAACAGAGGUUUCGAAGAAAUGUUGGAGAGAGAGUAUCAAGAGAGAGAAGAGGAGGUUUUGAGCGAUAAUCAUCGUCUUCUUAAUUCAUU